RNAcentral lists this ribosomal RNA (336 nucleotides) under Triticum aestivum (bread wheat). RNAcentral's name for it is "partial small subunit ribosomal RNA". Lineage: Eukaryota; Viridiplantae; Streptophyta; Magnoliopsida; Poales; Poaceae. The record is from RNAcentral.
AUGAAAAUAUUUGUAUUGUGUGCUCUAGGAGCAAAUGCCGAAAUUGAGGCACUGAAGAAGGCUGUGGCCGAAGCCGACAAGAAGGCCGCCGCGGAGCAGGCUCUUCGUGAGAAGCACGAGGCCAUGGUCAUUGAAGCUGAACGAGAGCUCCAGGAGGCCGUGAAGAAAAGUGAGACCUUGGAGCAGAGUCUAGCAGGGAAAGAAUCCAAACUCGCCCAAGCUCUCCAAGCCGCAAAUGAUGCUCGGGAGGAAGCCCGAGGUGCUCUGAAGGACAUUCAGGAGGCAAGGAGGAUUGCGGCUGGUAAGGCUUUUUUACUCAAAGCGAUUUUUAUAUAG